This is a small nuclear RNA of Schistocerca nitens (vagrant locust), 105 nucleotides long. The record is from RefSeq and is a predicted model, not a curated record. Lineage: Eukaryota; Metazoa; Arthropoda; Insecta; Orthoptera; Acrididae.
GUACCCGCUUGGGCGGUACGUAUACUAAAAUUGGAACGAUACAGAGAAGAUUAGCAUGGCCCCUUAAAAAAAAAAAAUUCGGUCAGAGGGUUAGUUGCCCUCUGU